GGAGGGUGCGAGCGUUGUCCGGAAUCACUGGGCGUAAAGGGCGCGUAGGCGGCACAGUAAGUAGGUGGUGAAAUCUCACGGGCUCAACCGUGAAACGGCCUCCUAAACUGCUGAGCUCGAGCACGGUAGAGGCAGAUGGAAUUCCCGGUGUAGCGGUGGAUGCGUAGAUAUCGGGAAGAACACCAGUGGCGAAGGCGGUCUGCUGGGCCGCUGCUGACGCUGAGGCGCGACAGCGUGGGGAGCAAACAGGAUUAGAUACCCUGGUAGUCCACGCCGUAAACGAUGGGUACUAGGCGUCGGGGGGAGCGACCCCUUCGGUGCCGUCGCUAACGCAGUAAGUACCCCGCCUGGGGAGUACGGCCGCAAAGGCUG
This 372-nucleotide ribosomal RNA is filed under the name uncultured organism. RNAcentral's name for it is "partial 16S ribosomal RNA". It matches the Rfam family "Bacterial small subunit ribosomal RNA", at positions 527 to 896 of the family's 1533-position model. The record is from RNAcentral.